UGGGGAAUAUUGGACAAUGGGCGAAAGCCUGAUCCAGCCAUGCCGCGUGUGUGAAGAAGGUCUUCGGAUUGUAAAGCACUUUAAGUUGGGAGGAAGGGCAGUAAGCGAAUACCUUGCUGUUUUGACGUUACCGACAGAAUAAGCACCGGCUAACUCUGUGCCAGCAGCCGCGGUAAUACAGAGGGUGCAAGCGUUAAUCGGAAUUACUGGGCGUAAAGCGCGCGUAGGUGGUUCGUUAAGUUGAAUGUGAAAGCCCCGGGCUCAACCUGGGAACUGCAUCCAAAACUGGCGAGCUAGAGUAGGGCAGAGGGUGGUGGAAUUUCCUGUGUAGCGGUGAAAUGCGUAGAUAUAGGAAGGAACACCAAUGGCGAAGGCGACCACCUGGGCUCAUACUGACACUGAGGUGCGAAAGCGUGGGGAGCAAACAGG
Molecule: ribosomal RNA, 429 nt
Filed under: Pseudomonadota bacterium
Lineage: Bacteria; Pseudomonadati; Pseudomonadota
Description: Proteobacteria bacterium partial 16S ribosomal RNA
Rfam family: Bacterial small subunit ribosomal RNA
Source: RNAcentral